Molecule: long non-coding RNA, 783 nt
Filed under: Homo sapiens (human)
Lineage: Eukaryota; Metazoa; Chordata; Mammalia; Primates; Hominidae
Description: non-protein coding lnc-ETNK2-3:1
Source: RNAcentral
CUUCACGGUACUGAAUUUGUGAUACAAAGAUCAAUGGAUAGCCAAUUAAUAGCUUAUGUUAUUUUAAUGUAAAUUCUUAGUAAACAACUUAGAAAAAUCCAGUAUAUAUUCAGGGCAAACUGAAUCCAUGUUCCCAGGUUGUAGCCCUCAAAGUUGGCCCAAAUAAACUCUCUGCUUAUAUUAAUUUUGCCUCUUUUUUUCUUUAAAAAUUUUUUUAAAUUUAUUUUUUAUUUUUAUUUUGUAGAGAUGGGGUCUCAUUAUGUUGUCCACGCUGGUCUCAUACUCCUGGACUCCAGCGAUUCUCCUGCCUCAGCCGCUCAAAGUGCUGGGAUUACAGGCGUGAGCCACUGCAUCUGACCAGUUUUUUCUUUAGGUCAACACGGGCGCCUGCCACCAUGCCUGGCUAAUUUUUGUAUUUUUAGUAGAGAUGGGGUUUCACCAUGUUGGCCAGGCUGGUCUUGAACUCCUGACCUCAAGUGAUCCACCCGCCUCAGGCUCCCAAAGUGCUGGGAUUACAGGCAAGAGUCACUGCGUGCAGCCAUGGCUUGACUCUUUUUUUUUUUUUUUUUUUUGAGACGGAGUUUCUCUCUUGUUGCCCAGGCUGGAGUGCGAUGGCACAAUCUCAGCUCACCACAACCUCUGCCUCCCGGGUUCAAGCAAUUCUUCUGCCUCAGCCUCCUGAGUAGCUGGGAUUACAGGCGCCCGCCACCACGCCCGGCUAAUUUUGUAUUUUUAGUAGAGACAGGGUUUCUCCAUGUUGGCCAGGCUGGUCUCAAACUCCCG